AUGGGGACCAAAAGGCCCAGCUGCACCCUUUUUGACACUUUAUCUAACAUAAACACAUCUGACCGCAAACUUCAGCCAGGUGGAAAAAUCUCCCGGGAUCCAAGUCCCAGGCCAGCAAUGACUGCCCAGUCGGAGAAAGUGAGAGACAGCAACCGCGAGGAAGAGUGGAGGAGAGAAAGAGAAACAGAGAAAAUGAGGGACAAAGCAAGAUACAAAGAUGUGGACUCACGGGAGAGAUACAAGGAAAGAGACAGAGCUCCUGCACCCCGGCCAAGAGAGGGAGAAAGAGAGUGGAGGGAGAGAGAAAGGAGGCAAGAAGAUGACAGGAGCCGAAAUGGGAGGCCGCUGUCAAAUGUAGAGAAAGCUGCUGAGACAGAAGUGGAGAGGGGGAUGAAGAAAGGUGACACAUUUCCUAGAAUGAGAAAAAACAGUGCAGAUCAUGGCAGAAGAAUGACCGCCACCGCUGAGACAGAUGAAGAGAGAAGGGAAAGGAGACCAAGAGAUAGGCCGAAAAGAGUAGAGGCAGACGACUGGGAGAGAGAAAGAGAUCGAGUACGGCACAGAGAGAUUUACAGAGAGAGGGAAAGGGAUGAGAUCCGAAUCAGGGCAAAGGAAGAAGGGCAAAACACUGGACGAAGACCUGUUGAAGACGAGAAAUCGCGUCAGAGGGAAAGAUAUGAGUUUGAUGUUGAUUUUCAGGACAGGAGAAGGUGUGAUUCAUUGGACAGAAGAGAGAGAGAUAAUGCUAGAAGGAGAGAGAAGCCGAGGCCUAACAUGGGAAACAUUGAGGCCAGGGUGUCUUCUCCACACAGAAGAAGAGACAGAGAAAUCUACUUAGAUAGGAAGGACAGGGAAAAGGCACAAAGGAGAGAGGGAAGGAGGGACACCAGGAGUGAGGGAGACAGCGACGAGAGGGAGAUCAGGAGGGAGAGAGUGAGGGACAGAGAGAGGGAGGAGUUGACAUAUCAACACAGCAGAAGUGAAGGGGACACCACAGGCAAAACAGAGAGGGAGAGACAUCGAGAUAGGCAAGGAUACCGGGAAGAGGAAAGGGAGAGAUACAGAGACAGGGACAGAGAGAGAGAAGUGGAUCGAUCCAGGAGGAGGGGAGUAGAGAAGGAUAGGGAGAGGUACAGAGAGGCUGACAGGAGGGGAGCAAGGGAGCCAGACAGGGAGGGAGCAAGAUGGAAGGACCGUGUGAGAGACGUGAAGGAUGAUAGGAGAGAGGGUGACAGAUACAGAGAGUAUGAGCAGAGGAGAGGCAGAGAAACAAAGGAAAGACAGGAAGAUCCAAGGUGGGAUGAUACCACAGCCAGAGGCAGCAGAUCCCAGAGCGACACAGCUCCCAGGGUGCCGCCACGAGCCCAGAGCAGUGGAGAGUGGAGCACCACUGAAAGUGACAGAGAUGUAGAUGAACAGACAGAUCCAGAAAGAGCUGCUGAAAGAAGUCAAAGGGAGCAAAAAAGAAGUGAGAGACAGGAGAGAAGAAAAGGAGAGACAGCAGGCAGAGUGCCAGAGCAGAAAAGGAUGUGGUUAGAGCCACAGAGGGGCAAGAAUAGUAAAGAAGAAUUUGUAGACAGAGACAGACACACAAGGGAGAAAGAGCGGAGGAGAGAACAAGAGAGGAGUAUGGAGUCACAGGCUGAGUGGGUAAGAGGGGGGCGGAGAAUAAAAGAGGAACCAGAUGAGAGGUAUUUGGACCAUAGCAGUUACAGAGGAAGGCAUGGAGGGAGAAAUGAGAACAAGGGGGCUCUAGAGAGGGAAUCGGAGGGUGUAAGUGUAGAUGGAGAGGAGGUGGGUGAAGUCUGGAGAGAAAUAGAUAAGGGAGGGAAGGAACAUCUGUCUGACACAGAUGGAGGGAUAGAGGGAAGCUGGCGGAGGGAUGCAGAGGGGGAGAACGUGACAGAUAACACAGAAGAGAGUGACAGAGAGGAACAGGGUGGGAGCGAUUAUUGGGCCCGCUCAGAGAGCGAAGGAGGAAGUGACUCAGGGUGGAAGCAAGAGAGAGACAGAAUGCUGUCAGGAGAGGACGGCUUUGUGACUCUGUCCAGCGGCGGAGACGAGGAGGACGAAAGAGAGGAAGAUGAAAAGUUUGAGGACUGUCAGGAGUUCUGGGAAGGUGAAGUUUCAUGUGAUGGCCCCUCACCUGUUGCCAUCAAGGAGCAUGAGGGAGACGAGCAGAGGGAAGAGGAAUGGAUAAUGGGAAAGGAAGAGACGGUUGAUGAAGACGAACAGGGGAGGGAAAAGCAACCAAAGUACGUCUUCUGUGUGAUUGGGCAAACUUUGCCUCGGUCAAAACCCGGACAGAUGUCACCGUCACAAGUUGAUCAGGCAAAGGGUGUGGAAAGUGAGAACCCAAAUUUAGAAAGUUGUCAUCAUUGUAGUGAUGACGGCACACAGCAACCUCAGCAUGACCUGCAUCUGACAUCAAGUAGAGAGGAUGAAUACCCGACCAUCAACCACCAGGACACAGAGGGCAGGAGUGGGUGUAACAUGCCAAGAGAGGAAAGGGCAGCCACGGGAGAAACAACUGAGGUGGAUAUGAGAUACAGAGUGUCACCAGAGCUUCAAAACACACAGACUGGAGAGAGAAUAAGGCGCAAGAAGGAGCACCCGUAUGCUGAAAUAGGACCAGUAAAAAGAGACUCACAGACUGAAAAACUCCUGAUAGAGUGGAGAGAGAAAAAUAAAGAAGGGGUGGAAAGAGAGAGUGAGCGACCUUUGUCAGUCCCCGUUAAUCCCUAUGGUGAUGUUUGUUCUCAAGUACAUUUUGAACAAAUUCAACCCAUCUUGGAAGGGAUUAACACCGGAGCAAUGAGCCCAGAAGAGGUGGAGGCCAUCCGGAUCCGAAUGAGCGGGGCAUGGAGCAUGUCUGACGAGCCCAAGCGUCAUUCCCAAGCCCCACACCUUAAAUGGGCCAAAAAUGUGGUGCGGGAGAUUCUGGGACGCUCAGAAGAACAGUUUUCAGAUGAACCUAACGCAGAGAUACCAGGAGACCAAGGGGUCAACCAGUCCGAGACAACGAUCGAGAACGACAAACAACAGGAAGUGGCUGCACAAGAGACCGCAGAGAUGCCAGUUGUUACACUGACAAUGGACGAACGGCACUCAGAGCCAGAGCUGGAGGAAGAAGAGCCGUUGGAGGUGGAGGGAUUGAGAGGUAUGGGGCUGAGCCAAGCCGACAUGCAUGCUGACCAGUGCGCAGCUAUGCAUGGUGACACACAGACAUACACUCAUGCUGACACACUGCUAGACACAGAAGGGAAGGAGGAUCAGAGUAUGGACAAAGAGACAGAGCCUUCGUAUCGCGUUUUAGAAAAGGCAGAUAGAGAGGUGAAAAUUAGCGAAGAGGCCGGUGAUGAGGUUAAUUUAUUAGAAAAGGAAAAAGAAGCAAGUAGAGUGAAGGAAGUUGAGAUGUAUUUAUCUGUGAGCAACACGCUGUACAAGCCUAACAGCUGCCCCAUUCUGAAUUAUGAAACUGAGCCUGAGCUCCUCAUUCCCUCUAGAGAGGCUGAGGGCCAGGAGGUGGAAGACAGAAUGGGUGAAAGCGAAGAAGAAAGGCAGGAAGAGGACCCUGAAGAGAGGGGUACUGGAGAGGAGGUGGGAAAGGUGAGGGAGGGAGAGGGGAGUACUGAGGUGGAUAGCAGAGAGGGAGAAAGGAAAAUAGAAGAGAGGACACUGACGAGCAGCUGCAGUUUCCGAAAUUUGGGCCCCGAGGCUCGAUUGCGGAGAAGGGGAAUCCGUAAAACUACUGAAAGAAGAAAAGGAGAGCUUGUAGAAGCAGAAGAAGCGGAAGGUGUUGGAAGGGACCGCAGAACCAGAAUAUUCUCUACAACAGGUAACGAGAGAAGAUGGAGGAUGGAGACGCUGAUUAUCUGCUCAGAAAGCCACAUAAAUAGCCCUUCUUCUACGUUUAACUUCUUUCUAGUUUAUUAUCAAUCAUCAUCAGCAUUGCCAAUUUAA
This is a long non-coding RNA of Dicentrarchus labrax (European seabass), 3963 nucleotides long. The record is from Ensembl. Lineage: Eukaryota; Metazoa; Chordata; Actinopteri; Moronidae.